AUCGCGUUUUGUGACGUGAUCAAUGAUAGGGCAGUCGUAAUGAAACAAGUGGAGCGGUUAAUAGCUAUCACCACGCUCAUUGGUUGUUCUAUAUAUAUAGUCAUACUUUACAAUCGCUUCGUUAACGGUUCCACUCAGAGCAAACUAAACAGACUAUUCCUUUUAUUAUCUGGACUAAUAAUACACAACUUAUUUUCAAAGGCAUUUGUACAAAAUUUAGUCAUGUAUUGAAAGAACGAAACAUUUUAUUGAAAUAGUGAGAUUUAAACUUUCUACCGCGUUAUUGUCAAGAUAUUGUUUGUUAUCUUUAAUAUGCAUCUGUUAACAGUUUUAACACUAACUUGCAUAUUGACAUGUUUAUAUACGCGACGGACCAGUGCCAGACCCUUGGAGGAUGGACAACUUUCAGCUCUGACAGACGAGGUGCUAUACGAUGAUAUUAACCUAGUUCCUCAGCCCCCAAUGUCCAGGAACACCCUAUUAUCACUGCUACUUCAGAGAUUGGCUCCAAGUGGGGAUGAAACAUUUCAGACGAGAGGGAAACGACAGCGUCGCUGUUAUUGGUCCGUGGUCACGUGCUAUGGAUGACGUCACAAGUGAAGAAACAAAAUCACAAAAGUGAUGUAACAUAUUAAUUUUGUAAAUAUAAACAAAACUGACGUUGGUUAUUUGACAAAAGAUGGACAAAUUCAAAUCACUUCUGAAAUUUAUAAAAUUAUCUACACGCAUGUUAAACAGUGUGUCCAUUUAAUCACUGAAUUUUUAUUUUGAAUGAUUUACUUUGUGUAUGAGAAGGUGUCAAUAAACCGUAAAACGUCUUGA
Molecule: long non-coding RNA, 822 nt
Organism: Pecten maximus
Lineage: Eukaryota; Metazoa; Mollusca; Bivalvia; Pectinida; Pectinidae
Exons: 2
Source: RefSeq, a predicted model, not a curated record